RNAcentral lists this microRNA precursor (61 nucleotides) under Ixodes scapularis (black-legged tick). Its description in RNAcentral is "Isc-Mir-87-P1_pre stem-loop". Lineage: Eukaryota; Metazoa; Arthropoda; Arachnida; Ixodida; Ixodidae. The record is from RNAcentral.
GUGCCCGGAACUUUGUCUCAGCCUGGACUGUUAGCGCAGGUGAGCAAAGUUUCAGGUGUGU